ACUAAGCGUACACGGUGGAUGCCCUGGCAGUCAGAGGCGAUGAAGGACGUGCUAAUCUGCGAUAAGCGUCGGUGAGGUGAUAUGAACCGUUAUAACCGGCGAUUUCCGAAUUGGGAAACCCAGUGUGUUUCGACACACUAUCAUUAACUGAAUCCAUAGGUUAAUGAGGCGAACCGGGGGAACUGAAACAUCUAAGUACCCCGAGGAAAAGAAAUCAACCGAGAUUCCCCCAGUAGCGGCGAGCGAACGGGGAGGAGCCCAGAGCCUGAAUCAGUGUGUGUGUUAGUGGAAGCGUCUGGAAAGGCGCGCGAUACAGGGUGACAGCCCCGUACACAAAAAUGCACAUACUGUGAGCUCGAUGAGUAGGGCGGGACACGUGGUAUCCUGUCUGAAUAUGGGGGGACCAUCCUCCAAGGCUAAAUACUCCUGACUGACCGAUAGUGAACCAGUACCGUGAGGGAAAGGCGAAAAGAACCCCGGCGAGGGGAGUGAAAAAGAACCUGAAACCGUGUACGUACAAGCAGUGGGAGCCUCUUAAUGGGGUGACUGCGUACCUUUUGUAUAAUGGGUCAGCGACUUAUAUUCUGUAGCAAGGUUAACCGAAUAGGGGAGCCGAAGGGAAACCGAGUCUUAACUGGGCGUUUAGUUGCAGGGUAUAGACCCGAAACCCGGUGAUCUAGCCAUGGGCAGGUUGAAGGUUGGGUAACACUAACUGGAGGACCGAACCGACUAAUGUUGAAAAAUUAGCGGAUGACUUGUGGCUGGGGGUGAAAGGCCAAUCAAACCGGGAGAUAGCUGGUUCUCCCCGAAAGCUAUUUAGGUAGCGCCUCGUGAAUUCAUCUCCGGGGGUAGAGCACUGUUUCGGCAAGGGGGUCAUCCCGACUUACCAACCCGAUGCAAACUGCGAAUACCGGAGAAUGUUAUCACGGGAGACACACGGCGGGUGCUAACGUCCGUCGUGAAGAGGGAAACAACCCAGACCGCCAGCUAAGGUCCCAAAGUCAUGGUUAAGUGGGAAACGAUGUGGGAAGGCCCAGACAGCCAGGAUGUUGGCUUAGAAGCAGCCAUCAUUUAAAGAAAGCGUAAUAGCUCACUGGUCGAGUCGGCCUGCGCGGAAGAUGUAACGGGGCUAAACCAUGCACCGAAGCUGCGGCAGCGACACUAUGUGUUGUUGGGUAGGGGAGCGUUCUGUAAGCCUGUGAAGGUGGCCUGUGAGGGUUGCUGGAGGUAUCAGAAGUGCGAAUGCUGACAUAAGUAACGAUAAAGCGGGUGAAAAGCCCGCUCGCCGGAAGACCAAGGGUUCCUGUCCAACGUUAAUCGGGGCAGGGUGAGUCGACCCCUAAGGCGAGGCCGAAAGGCGUAGUCGAUGGGAAACAGGUUAAUAUUCCUGUACUUGGUGUUACUGCGAAGGGGGGACGGAGAAGGCUAUGUUGGCCGGGCGACGGUUGUCCCGGUUUAAGCGUGUAGGCUGGUUUUCCAGGCAAAUCCGGAAAAUCAAGGCUGAGGCGUGAUGACGAGGCACUACGGUGCUGAAGCAACAAAUGCCCUGCUUCCAGGAAAAGCCUCUAAGCAUCAGGUAACAUCAAAUCGUACCCCAAACCGACACAGGUGGUCAGGUAGAGAAUACCAAGGCGCUUGAGAGAACUCGGGUGAAGGAACUAGGCAAAAUGGUGCCGUAACUUCGGGAGAAGGCACGCUGAUAUGUAGGUGAAGCGACUUGCUCGUGGAGCUGAAAUCAGUCGAAGAUACCAGCUGGCUGCAACUGUUUAUUAAAAACACAGCACUGUGCAAACACGAAAGUGGACGUAUACGGUGUGACGCCUGCCCGGUGCCGGAAGGUUAAUUGAUGGGGUUAGCGGCAACGCGAAGCUCUUGAUCGAAGCCCCGGUAAACGGCGGCCGUAACUAUAACGGUCCUAAGGUAGCGAAAUUCCUUGUCGGGUAAGUUCCGACCUGCACGAAUGGCGUAAUGAUGGCCAGGCUGUCUCCACCCGAGACUCAGUGAAAUUGAACUCGCUGUGAAGAUGCAGUGUACCCGCGGCAAGACGGAAAGACCCCGUGAACCUUUACUAUAGCUUGACACUGAACAUUGAGCCUUGAUGUGUAGGAUAGGUGGGAGGCUUUGAAGUGUGGACGCCAGUCUGCAUGGAGCCGACCUUGAAAUACCACCCUUUAAUGUUUGAUGUUCUAACGUGGGCCCGUAAUCCGGGUUGCGGACAGUGUCUGGUGGGUAGUUUGACUGGGGCGGUCUCCUCCUAAAGAGUAACGGAGGAGCACGAAGGUUGGCUAAUCCUGGUCGGACAUCAGGAGGUUAGUGCAAUGGCAUAAGCCAGCUUGACUGCGAGCGUGACGGCGCGAGCAGGUGCGAAAGCAGGUCAUAGUGAUCCGGUGGUUCUGAAUGGAAGGGCCAUCGCUCAACGGAUAAAAGGUACUCCGGGGAUAACAGGCUGAUACCGCCCAAGAGUUCAUAUCGACGGCGGUGUUUGGCACCUCGAUGUCGGCUCAUCACAUCCUGGGGCUGAAGUAGGUCCCAAGGGUAUGGCUGUUCGCCAUUUAAAGUGGUACGCGAGCUGGGUUUAGAACGUCGUGAGACAGUUCGGUCCCUAUCUGCCGUGGGCGCUGGAGAACUGAGGGGGGCUGCUCCUAGUACGAGAGGACCGGAGUGGACGCAUCACUGGUGUUCGGGUUGUCAUGCCAAUGGCACUGCCCGGUAGCUAAAUGCGGAAGAGAUAAGUGCUGAAAGCAUCUAAGCACGAAACUUGCCCCGAGAUGAGUUCUCCCUGACCCUUUAAGGGUCCUGAAGGAACGUUGAAGACGACGACGUUGAUAGGCCGGGUGUGUAAGCGCAGCGAUGCGUUGAGCUAACCGGUACUAAUGAACCGUGAGGCUUAACC
RNAcentral lists this ribosomal RNA (2893 nucleotides) under Escherichia coli. Its description in RNAcentral is "bacterial LSU rRNA". It matches the Rfam family "Bacterial large subunit ribosomal RNA". Lineage: Bacteria; Pseudomonadati; Pseudomonadota; Gammaproteobacteria; Enterobacterales; Enterobacteriaceae. The record is from RNAcentral.